GGGCCGUUAGCUUAGCUGGUAGAGCGCGUCAUUUGCAAUGACGAGGUCGCCGGUUCGAAUCCGGCACGGUCCACCG
This 76-nucleotide transfer RNA is filed under the name Candidatus Wildermuthbacteria bacterium RIFCSPLOWO2_01_FULL_50_46. Its description in RNAcentral is "tRNA-Ala". It matches the Rfam family "tRNA". From Rfam's summary of the family: Transfer RNA (tRNA) molecules are approximately 80 nucleotides in length. RNAcentral also lists the same sequence under 1 other name. The record is from RNAcentral. Lineage: Bacteria; Candidatus Wildermuthiibacteriota.